AAUACAACUUUCAGCAACGGAUCUCUUGGCUCUCGCAUCGAUGAAGAACGCAGCGAAAUGCGAUAAGUAAUGUGAAUUGCAGAAUUCAGUGAAUCAUCGAAUCUUUGAACGCACCUUGCGCUCCUUGGUAUUCCGAGGAGCAUGCCUGUUUGAGUGUCAUGG
Molecule: ribosomal RNA, 162 nt
Filed under: Phlebia acerina
Lineage: Eukaryota; Fungi; Basidiomycota; Agaricomycetes; Polyporales; Meruliaceae
Description: 5.8S ribosomal RNA
Rfam family: 5.8S ribosomal RNA
About the family: 5.8S ribosomal RNA (5.8S rRNA) is a component of the large subunit of the eukaryotic ribosome. It is transcribed by RNA polymerase I as part of the 45S precursor that also contains 18S and 28S rRNA. Functionally, it is thought that 5.8S rRNA may be involved in ribosome translocation.
Source: RNAcentral